GGCUGCCACUUACCCAGUGCCACACGCCUCAGGAGACCUGUGGUCCAGGUGGCAUUGUCCCAUUUUCCGGAUGGGACCAAGAGAAAGGGCCAUUUAUUUUCAAGCAUCCGUUCGAUCCCUGCCGAGGGAUGAAAACUGCAGUGUCAACCGCCUUCUACCCCACCCCUUCGGAGGCCCUUUCGGUAUUAACAUCAAAGCGUUCUGCAUAUUUAUCAUUCCUCCCUCGGCAUUGAGCAAAGCUAUCUGAUGGACACACAAAAGCUCCAUAGUUUCCACUUGGACUCUAAAAAGGCAUCAGCAAGUUCAAACCCAAGUUGAAAAUUCCCUCAAAUAGGUAUAUUUUCUUUACUGGGAACCUGGGAAGGAUUAUCACUUAGCAUCCUCUCCAGAAUCAAUUUGCGUCCACUUACCAGUCGCUUCUGGUAUAAAAUAAAGAAGCUUAUGAUUCUUCA
Callorhinus ursinus (northern fur seal) is the source of this 452-nucleotide long non-coding RNA. RefSeq lists it as uncharacterized. The record is from RefSeq and is a predicted model, not a curated record. NCBI's taxonomy places the organism in Eukaryota, Metazoa, Chordata, Mammalia, Carnivora, Otariidae.